RNAcentral lists this ribosomal RNA (305 nucleotides) under uncultured bacterium. RNAcentral's name for it is "bacterial SSU rRNA". It matches the Rfam family "Bacterial small subunit ribosomal RNA", at positions 333 to 653 of the family's 1533-position model. The record is from RNAcentral.
AGACUCCUACGGGGCGCAGCAGUGGGGAAUAUUGCACAAUGGGGGAAACCCUGAUGCAGCGACGCCGCGUGAAGGAAGAAGUAUCUCGGUAUGUAAACUUCUAUCAGCAGGGAAGAAAACAGACGGUGCCUGACUAAGAAGCCCCGGCUAACUACGUGCCAGCAGCCGCGGUAAUACGUAGGGGGCAAGCGUUAUCCGGAUUUACUGGGUGUAAAGGGGGCGCAGACGGCCACGGCAAGCCCGGUGUGAAAGGCAGGGGCAUAACCCCUGGACUGCACUGGGAACUGUCAGGCUGGAGGGCCGGG